UAGGGAAUAUUGGACAAUGGGGGGAACCCUGAUCCAGCCAUGCCGCGCGGAGGAAGACUGCCCUCUGGGUUGUAAACUCCUUUUAUAUGGGAAGAACCGUCCUCAUUGAUGAGUGACCUGACGGUACCAUAGGAAUAAGCACCGGCUAACUCCGUGCCAGCAGCCGCGGUAAUACGGAGGGUGCAAGCGUUAUCCGGAUUCACUGGGUUUAAAGGGUGCGUAGGCGGAUAUGUAAGUCAGUGGUGAAAUCAACGGGCUCAACCUGUUAACUGCCAUUGAUACUGUGUAUCUUGAAUAUGAGAGAGGUAGGCGGAAUGUUGCAUGUAGCGGUGAAAUGCUUAGAUAUGCUACGGAACACCGAUUGCGAAGGCAGCUUACUAUUUCGUAAUUGACGCUGAGGCACGAAAGCGUGGGUAGCGAACA
This 423-nucleotide ribosomal RNA is filed under the name uncultured bacterium. RNAcentral's name for it is "bacterial SSU rRNA". It matches the Rfam family "Bacterial small subunit ribosomal RNA", at positions 355 to 774 of the family's 1533-position model. The record is from RNAcentral.